GACGAACGCUGGCGGCGUGCCUAAUACAUGCAAGUAGAACGCACAGUUUAUACCGUAGCUUGCUACACCAUAAACUGUGAGUUGCGAACGGGUGAGUAACGCGUAGGUAACCUGCCUGGUAGCGGGGGAUAACUAUUGGAAACGAUAGCUAAUACCGCAUAAUAUUGAUUAUUGCAUGAUAAUUGAUUGAAAGAUGCUAUUGCAUCACUACCGGAUGGACCUGCGUUGUAUUAGCUAGUAGGUGAGGUAACGGCUCACCUAGGCGACGAUACAUAGCCGACCUGAGAGGGUGAUCGGCCACACUGGGACUGAGACACGGCCCAGACUCCUACGGGAGGCAGCAGUAGGGAAUCUUCGGCAAUGGACGAAAGUCUGACCGAGCAACGCCGCGUGAGUGAAGAAGGUUUUCGGAUCGUAAAGCUCUGUUGUAAGAGAAGAACGGGUGUGAGAGUGGAAAGUUCACACUGUGACGGUAUCUUACCAGAAAGGGACGGCUAACUACGUG
RNAcentral lists this ribosomal RNA (505 nucleotides) under uncultured bacterium. Its description in RNAcentral is "partial 16S ribosomal RNA". It matches the Rfam family "Bacterial small subunit ribosomal RNA", at positions 28 to 507 of the family's 1533-position model. The record is from RNAcentral.